GACGAACGCUGGCGGCGUGCUUAACACAUGCAAGUCGAACGCUUCUUUCCUCUCGUGUGCUUGCGCUCUGUUGGGCGAAGGGGUGGCUGUCGCGUGAGUAACCUGUCGUUAACCUAUCGAUAACAGCGGGAUAACACUGGGAAACAGGUGCUGUUACCGUAUACCAGUUUAUGCCGCCUGGCAUAAGAGUCAGAGUCUCUUUCGUCGGUCGCUGAUGGGCGGACCCGCGAUGCGUUAGCUAGUUGGUGAGGUAACGGCCCACCAAGGCCACGGUGGAUAGGCGACCUCGGAGGGUGAGCGGCCACAGUGAGACUGAGACACGGCCCAGACUCCUACGGGAGGCAGCAGUAGGGGAUCGUCGGCAAUGGAAGAAAGUCUGACCGAGCGACGCGGCGUGGGUGAAGAGGGGUUUCGGUUCGUAAAACUCUGUUGUGAGUGAAGAACAAGGACGUUAGUAAGUGAGGGGCGCCUGACGGUAGCUAGCCAGAAAGCCACGGCUAACUACGUG
RNAcentral lists this ribosomal RNA (508 nucleotides) under uncultured bacterium. RNAcentral describes it as "partial 16S ribosomal RNA". It matches the Rfam family "Bacterial small subunit ribosomal RNA", at positions 28 to 507 of the family's 1533-position model. The record is from RNAcentral.